This 519-nucleotide long non-coding RNA is filed under the name Homo sapiens (human). Its description in RNAcentral is "non-protein coding LINC00578:7". The record is from RNAcentral. Lineage: Eukaryota; Metazoa; Chordata; Mammalia; Primates; Hominidae.
AUUAAAUGUAAAAUGGCAGAAACAUUCGUUUUGGGCAAAUUUCUCAUUUUAAAUGAGUUCUAUUUAGAAACAAAACAAAUGAAAUGGUGGCAAUAUCAAUUACAAGGAUGAUAAGGCUUUAUCUGAUCACAUCUUCAAGGUUUUAUGCCUUUUCCUUCGUGUCCUGUCCUUCCCUCCUCCACUCCCCACUCCUGUUUCUCUGUAUGUCAGGUUUCAACAAGGGGAAAAACAAAAACUUUGCAAGGAUAUUUCGAGGGUGAGAAAAUGUUACGAUGGACCUGCAUUUCUUUAUUAAUGAAACACCACCUGGAACACAGCUGUGACUUGAUAAACAAGUGAAACAUUCUUUGGUGUGGUGAGGGGAAAACAAAUUUCUCAAAGGACACGCACCAUGGUGUAUGAGAGGACACUGGAGCCCAGCCAGCAUCUGACAUGCUGAAUUCAAAGUGCAGGUGAAAGUAGGACAACUGAUUCACAAGCUGGGAUGCCUGUGUUGUUGUUUGCCAGUGUGCGUGUGUG